GACGAACGCUGGCGGCGUGCUUAACACAUGCAAGUCGAGCGGUAAGGCCCUUUCGGGGGUACACGAGCGGCGAACGGGUGAGUAACACGUGGGUGACCUGCCUCUAGCUCUGGGAUAAGCCCGGGAAACUGGGUCUAAUACUGGAUAUGACUCCAUGACGCAUGUUGUGGGGUGGAAAGCCUUGUGCGGCUAGAGAUGGGCCCGCGGCCUAUCAGCUUGUUGGGGGUGAUGGCCUACCAAGGCGACGACGGGUAGCCGGCCUGAGAGGGCGACCGGCCACACUGGGACUGAGACACGGCCCAGACUCCUACGGGAGGCAGCAGUGGGGAAUCUUGCGCAAUGGGCGAAAGCCUGACGCAGCGACGCCGCGUGAGGGAUGACGG
This 383-nucleotide ribosomal RNA is filed under the name uncultured bacterium. RNAcentral describes it as "bacterial SSU rRNA". It matches the Rfam family "Bacterial small subunit ribosomal RNA", at positions 28 to 414 of the family's 1533-position model. The record is from RNAcentral.